RNAcentral lists this transfer RNA (69 nucleotides) under Acheilognathus hypselonotus. Its description in RNAcentral is "tRNA-Ala". It matches the Rfam family "tRNA". Rfam says of the family: Transfer RNA (tRNA) molecules are approximately 80 nucleotides in length. Their secondary structure includes four short double-helical elements and three loops (D, anti-codon, and T loops). The record is from RNAcentral. Lineage: Eukaryota; Metazoa; Chordata; Actinopteri; Cypriniformes; Acheilognathidae.
AAGGCCUUAGUUUAAUUAAAACAUUUGAUUUGCACUCACAAAAUGCAAGAUAGAGUCUUGUAGGUCUUA